Molecule: ribosomal RNA, 114 nt
Filed under: Pogona vitticeps (central bearded dragon)
Lineage: Eukaryota; Metazoa; Chordata; Lepidosauria; Squamata; Agamidae
Source: RNAcentral
AUCUUCUUUAACUCUGAAUGCACCUGACCUCAUCUUAUUUUGGAAGCUAAGCAGGGUCAGUCUUGGUUAGCACUUGGAUGGGAGACCUUAGGGAACACCAUGAAUCUACAGGUA